CGAAAGCCUGACGGAGCAACGCCGCGUGAGGGACGAAGGCCUCUGGGCUGUAAACCUCUUUUCUCAAGGAAGAAGAACUGACGGUACUUGAGGAAUAAGCCACGGCUAAUUCCGUGCCAGCAGCCGCGGUAAUACGGGAGUGGCAAGCGUUAUCCGGAAUUAUUGGGCGUAAAGCGUCCGCAGGCGGCCUUGAAAGUCUGUCGUUAAAGCGUGGAGCUUAACUCCAUUUCAGCGAUGGAAACUGUGAGGCUUGAGUGUGGUAGGGGCAGAGGGAAUUCCCGGUGUAGCGGUGAAAUGCGUAGAUAUCGGGAAGAACACCAGUGGCGAAGGCGCUCUGCUGGGCCAUAACUGACGCUCAUGGACGAAAGCCAGGGGAGCG
This 379-nucleotide ribosomal RNA is filed under the name uncultured cyanobacterium. RNAcentral's name for it is "bacterial SSU rRNA". It matches the Rfam family "Bacterial small subunit ribosomal RNA", at positions 376 to 770 of the family's 1533-position model. Lineage: Bacteria; Bacillati; Cyanobacteriota. The record is from RNAcentral.